Molecule: transfer RNA, 76 nt
Filed under: Clostridia bacterium
Lineage: Bacteria; Bacillati; Bacillota; Clostridia
Also listed under: 1 other name
Description: tRNA-Trp
Rfam family: tRNA
About the family: Transfer RNA (tRNA) molecules are approximately 80 nucleotides in length. Their secondary structure includes four short double-helical elements and three loops (D, anti-codon, and T loops).
Source: RNAcentral
AGGGGUAUAGCUCAGUUGGUAGAGUCGCUGUCUCCAAAACAGUUGGUCGUGGGUUCAAGUCCUUCUGCCCCUGCCA